Molecule: ribosomal RNA, 193 nt
Filed under: Uromyces sp. US000967
Lineage: Eukaryota; Fungi; Basidiomycota; Pucciniomycetes; Pucciniales; Pucciniaceae
Also listed under: 2 other names
Description: 5.8S rRNA
Rfam family: 5.8S ribosomal RNA (bases 1-154)
About the family: 5.8S ribosomal RNA (5.8S rRNA) is a component of the large subunit of the eukaryotic ribosome.
Source: RNAcentral
AACUUUUAACAAUGGAUCUCUAGGCUCUCAUAUCGAUGAAGAACACAGUGAAAUGUGAUAAGUAAUGUGAAUUGCAGAAUUCAGUGAAUCAUUGAAUCUUUGAACGCACCUUGCACCUUUUGGUAUUCCAAAAGGUAUGCCUGUUUGAGUGUCAUGAAAAUCUCUCAUCAAAUUAAUUUUUGGUGGAUGUUGA